RNAcentral lists this ribosomal RNA (486 nucleotides) under uncultured bacterium. RNAcentral describes it as "bacterial SSU rRNA". It matches the Rfam family "Bacterial small subunit ribosomal RNA", at positions 28 to 507 of the family's 1533-position model. The record is from RNAcentral.
GACGAACGCUAGCUACAGGCUUAACACAUGCAAGUCGAGGGGCAGCACAGUGUAGCAAUACAUGGGUGGCGACCGGCGCACGGGUGCGUAACGCGUAUCCAACCUUCCCGUUACUCUUGGAUAGCCUUCCGAAAGGGAGAUUAAUACAAGAUGGUAUUCAAAUUCCGCAUGUUAUUUGAAUUAAAGAUUUAUCGGUAACGGAUGGGGAUGCGUGACAUUAGAUAGUAGGCGGGGUAACGGCCCACCUAGUCUACGAUGUCUAGGGGUUCUGAGAGGAAGGUCCCCCACACUGGAACUGAGACACGGUCCAGACUCCUACGGGAGGCAGCAGUGAGGAAUAUUGGUCAAUGGAGGCAACUCUGAACCAGCCAAGUAGCGUGCAGGAUGACGGCCCUAUGGGUUGUAAACUGCUUUUAUGCGGGGAUAAAUGAUCCUACGUGUAGGUUUUUGCAGGUACCGCAUGAAUAAGGACCGGCUAAUUCCGUG